This 546-nucleotide long non-coding RNA is filed under the name Androctonus crassicauda. The record is from RNAcentral. Lineage: Eukaryota; Metazoa; Arthropoda; Arachnida; Scorpiones; Buthidae.
AAGCACUUGGUAAUUCUUUGGCCAUUCUACUGUUGACAAGACAGUGGUCAUGCUUUCUCAUAUUUAUUUCUAUAGUCUCCUGUAAGGUCGCCUGUGCUGCUGAAACAAUCAGUUUUAUUAUUUUGGCUUAGUUCCAAUUUAUCUCUAUCUCUGCUAUACGCCUCCUCUGCUAGCGCUGUGGUGGUUCUACCCAUUUUAAUAUCCCGUUUAUGCUCACUUAUUCUCUUUGCAAGUGUCGUCGUCAUAACACCGAUGUAGCUGGCUUCUCGGUCUUCAGUAGGGUAGCUAAUAAGUAUGUUAUACACCCCAGACUUUUUGUAUUGGGUCCGUGGAUCUUUCUCGUUUCGGAUCACAUUAAAGAGGGUUGGAGAUCUAGUGGCAGCAACUUUUCUUUUAGUUUCUCAUGCAAUCUCUCUUAUAAUUUUCUGCUUACUGGUUUGAUAUGGUACUGCUAGGUAUCUCCCUCCCUCAUUUCCAGGUUCGUUGGUGUUAGUUCUUCUUCUCUCCGUAGGUUUCUUAGCCUUCUUGUGUAUAUUACGUAUGAAA